Molecule: ribosomal RNA, 259 nt
Filed under: uncultured bacterium
Lineage: Bacteria
Description: partial 16S ribosomal RNA
Rfam family: Bacterial small subunit ribosomal RNA
Source: RNAcentral
GUCCGCACCGUAAACGAUGAUUACUCGUUGUUGGCGAUAUGACAGUCAGCGACCAAGCGAAAGCGAUAAGUAAUCCACCUGGGGAGUACGCCGGCAACGGUGAAACUCAAAGGAAUUGACGGGGGCCCGCACAAGCGGAGGAGCAUGUGGUUUAAUUCGAUGAUACGCGAGGAACCUUACCUGGGCUUGAAAGUUAGCGACCGGUCCUGAAAGGGAUCUUCCAGCAAUGGCGCGAAACUAGGUGCUGCAUGGCUGUCGU